RNAcentral lists this ribosomal RNA (355 nucleotides) under uncultured soil bacterium. Its description in RNAcentral is "bacterial SSU rRNA". It matches the Rfam family "Bacterial small subunit ribosomal RNA", at positions 26 to 377 of the family's 1533-position model. The record is from RNAcentral.
AGGACGAACGCUGGCGGCGUGCUUAACACAUGCAAGUCGAGCGGUAAGGCCUUUCGGGGUACACGAGCGGCGAACGAGUGAGUAACACGUGGGUGAUCUGCCCUGCACUCUGGGAUAAGCCUGGGAAACUGGGUCUAAUACCGGAUAUGACCUGCUCUCGCAGUGGGGGUGGUGGAAAGAUUUUAUCGGUGCAGGAUGGGGCCCGCGGCCUAUCCAGUCUUGGUUGGUGGGGUAAUGGCCUACCGAAGGCGACGACGGGUAGCCGACCUGAGAGGGUGACCGGCACACUGGGACUGAGACACGGCCCAGACUCCGUACGGGAGGCAGCAGGUGGGGAACUAUUGCACAAUGGGAC